GUCAGUGUGGUGUAGUGGUUUGAGUGUUGGACUAUGACUCUGGAGACCAAGGUUCAAUUCCCCACUCAGCCA
This 72-nucleotide transfer RNA is filed under the name Phrynosoma platyrhinos (Desert horned lizard). Its description in RNAcentral is "tRNA-OTHER". The record is from RNAcentral. Lineage: Eukaryota; Metazoa; Chordata; Lepidosauria; Squamata; Phrynosomatidae.